This 39798-nucleotide long non-coding RNA is filed under the name Coffea arabica (coffee). RNAcentral describes it as "long non-coding RNA (CARA_LNC002998)". Lineage: Eukaryota; Viridiplantae; Streptophyta; Magnoliopsida; Gentianales; Rubiaceae. The record is from RNAcentral.
GAUGAGUGAACUUGUAUCAGUAUAAUAACCAGGGUGGCCUUGGUCAUCCUCUUGAUCCAUAGAUUGCCCUUGGAAUGCCAGUGGCUUGGAUGGUUUUAUCACUCCAGUCUCUUCCUCGAGGUGCUUUCGCUUUGAGUUCCCUCCCUUGGGGCAUUUUUGCUUUGAGUUUUGCCCUUGGAAUGCCAGUCGCUUGGACGAUUUCAUCACUCCAAUCUCUUCCUCAAGAUGCUUUAGCUUUGAGUUCUCUCCCUUGGGCCCUUUCGCUUUGAGUUCUCGAUGGAAGAAUAAGUAUUAAAAACCCACUUGCUCUCUUCUUCACAGGUGCUUGGCAAGUCUCGAGAGACAAGAAAUGAUGGCCCCUCCAAUAUGAUGGCUGAAAGAGUGAGAAAUCUAAGAACUAAACUGGUCCAACAAAGUUAAGCCUGAAGACAUCAGUCCAAGCGAUAUUAGUUAAUGCUACAAUCUGGAAAAUAAAGAAGCAAAAGAAUACCUAAACAGUUUAGCCAUAAAUAUAUGAUCUUUAUUGAAGAUUGGGAUAAUUACAAUCUAUAUCUCUCUUUGAUAUGCUAAGAAGAGCAAAUUCCAUAAUCAUUAGACAUCUAAAAUAGGGAGUAACAAAGUGGAUGUAAUUGGUUAAGUAUUACAUUUAAAAGGCGAACAAGACCCUCUGUGAUAAAACCGCGCAACGCAUCAUGAAAUUCAUGAUUCGAGGAAAAAGUUUCCCAAACAGUCAGUUAAAACCUAAAUCUCAAUUUUGAAGACAUUGAUUGUUAGAGCAGUUCUACAUUUGCAAGGAAAUAGUUGAGUGUAAACCCAGCAACAAGGGCAUGAGCACACAUCUUGAUACAAGCCCCGAACAAGUGCUGACAAUACUAGCAUGUCUAGCUCAACGAUGACUAGCUCCAAGUGCCAAUCUAGAUCUCUUUGCCAUCGUCAAUAUCAUAUAUUUUUCCAAAUCAUCAAAAUAGAAAAAAAUUGGAAUUGAAUAGGUAGAAACAUGGUUAUUUAAAGUUGAGUAGAUAAAACAACAAACUCUAGAAUCAACUUUGGACGACAGUGAAUGCCAACCGAAAAGAUCCAGUUAUGAAUAAGAAUAUAUUCCUUGAGUUGGAAAAUGUUUUUGUAUUUCCAAAAAAGAAAGGAAAGAAAGAUUUAAAUUCCAUGAAAUAAAAUCCAAAUGUCGAAAUCAAUAGAAAGGAUCUUAUACAUUGAAAAGAGCCACUGAUGAAUAAGAAUAAUUUCCUGAGUUGGAAAAUGAUUUUGUACUUCUAGGGGAAAAAGAUUUUCAUUUAAAUUCCAUAACACUAAUCAAAAUUUGGAAAACAACAACAAGAAUCUUCUACAUUACUAAUAUAGACCAAUCACCAUAAACUCACAAAAGUUAGAAAUCCAUCCCUUCAAACUCAAUCUGGAAAAGGGUUGAACUCCCAAUAUUUAACAAAAUUUAAAUCAAAAAAAGGAUAAGGAUUCAAUAUUAAAUCAGAAACCAAAUUAAAACCUGCAUGCAUGUAUGGUAAAAGCCAAUUCAAUUCAACAUGCCCCUGUAAGAGAAAUUCAGACUAAAAUCAGACCACCGAAUGCCUAUCCCAAAAGCAAUUAUAGCAACACCCAAUUAAGGGGAUAACAAGCAAAUACUCAGAAAUAACAAUCACAAAUCUAAUAGUGAUAACUAGCAGUCAAGAGAACACCUUUGAAAAAUCCUACCAAUCAAAAAAAUUUUAAAAAAUAGUUAUACAUGCAAUAGGAAAAUAAAAAAAAUUAACAUUGACAUAAAUUUGAAAUAAAAGAUUGAUCAUUAUACAUGAAUUGCCCUCAAUGGUCAGAAUCCUUACAUGCAUUCCCUUCAAAAUAUAACCUAAAAUGAAAAAGGGAAAAGAAGUCAUUAGGAAUUAUCUCAUAACAAGAAAAACCUAAAAAACCAAACCAGAAAACUUACAGAGUAAUCCGAGCAUAGUCUUUGAUUGUAACUACCAAAAAGAACAAAUUUCUGCUAAUAAACAGAGAAAGAAAAAUGAAUCGAUAGCUAAAUUAUUUCAUCGGGGCCACUUUGGAAACUUCUUUUAUUUGCAUUUGGAGCCCUCUCAAAUCUAAACUAGAACAAAAAAACAGUUCUCUCUUAACUGUGAUGAGAACUGAGGAGUGAGAAGAAGGAAGAAGAAUUGGAUUUUUUAUUGGAUAAGUUGAAUAUUCGCUAGAAGUAGCAGUAUUUGUAGUAGUGAACCAACGGGAAGAGGGAGACGACGGCAACUUGGGAAAUGAGAUGGCUGUGAUAGUAAGGGGUUAAGAUUUAAUGGAUUUAAUGGCCGUCAUUUGCACGUGUGAGCAUUUAUCUUUUGAAAUGGUUGUUGCCUUUGGGACAUUUUUUCCUUACCAAACUCCAAAAGAGUUCCAUUCUCCGUACGGCUCUUCAUUUCGUAACAUUCGUUCUACACCCGAGCAACACACUAUAAUUUCUACUUUUCUCUUUAUUUUUGCUUUUGAGUGGAUUUGAUUUUCAUUAGAGUGAUCCUAAUAUGAUUUCUUUCCAAUCUGACUACGUUGGUACCAAAAUAUACACGUUUCCUAAUUUAGAAAUCUAUUUUCCUAUAUGAGAAUUAUGAUUAAGGCUUUUGAAGGAUUAUAAUGUAUUUGGCAUGUAUGGUCUUAUGGUUUUAAUUAUUUACAAAAAUUUCCCUAUGUGCUAUAUUCAUUUAAACUGGUUUAGGUUAUAUAAUAUGAACUCGAUUAUUUUAUAUAAUUAGGUUAUGGAAUACAAAGUGUUGAUUAGAUAUCUAUGUACUAGUUCUGUCAAAAAUAUAUAGGCUAAAAUAGCGUAUAUAAUAUUUGUCAUUUGCAAAGAUUUAGGUUAAGAAAUACAAAUUGAAUCAUUUACAAAUUAGGUCAUGGAAUACAAAGCAUAAAAAAAAAUUCAUGCUCGAGCUCUAUUUGUGUAUAACAAUUAAAAAUAAUAUGUACAGUGAUUUGUCAUAUUUGUUUCUUGCACUCGAAUUAUUGACCAAAAAAAUCAGUAAUUGAUGAUAGUUAUUGCAUCAUGAAAUAAAACACCAAAAUCGAACUUUAUAUAAUGAAUUACUUUUAUAAGAGAAUCUAAAAUUUUUUUGUAUAUUCUUCAUGUAAUAAUUAAUUGUUUCAUGAGUUAAUUGAAAAGAAACAAUAAUAAUAAUAAUAAUAAUCAUGAAUAUCAAUUAUUAUGUGCUUAGAGCUCAUAAAACUAUUUGUUCAAAAAGAAUUUUACUAAUUUAUGUACCUCUAUGUUUGCAGCAUUUCUCUUGCAUGAUAAUAACAAACUAUUUUUUCCAGAUUUUCCAUUUAACUGAUUUAUUUAUUUAAAAUGCCUAAUUUAGUUUUCAAUUUCCUCUUGAUGAGAUUUACCUUUCGGGUUUGGUAGGGCAAUGAUGCAAUAACAAAGGCUCUCGUGGUUUUAAUUCUAUACAACAGUUCUCAAUCUUGUAAUUGAUUUGCAAAAAUUAAAGUUGCAGAAUAUGAAUUGUAUUGCCUUUUAAAUUAGGGUUUUCUAGUAUCCAGUGCCAAAAACAAAACCAUGCUUGAAAUCUAUUUGAUUUAUAACUAUUACAAUAGCAUAUAUAAUAUUUGUCUUGGUUUAUCUUUUAUUUGUUUGUGAGUGAAUGUCUUGAAAAUAGUAAUUGACAAUCAAGAGUCCAACCAGAAAAUGUAAAACACCAAAAUCAAACAAAAUAUCUAAUGGUCUACCUUUAUACGAGCAUCUGAUAAUUUUUUUUUUCAGAUCACAUAACAAUUUUUUGGUUUAAUAGUUAAAGAAGAUAAUAACCGUAAUGAGAAUAUGUAUUUUGGGAGAAAAAAUCUAGUCACCAUAUUAUGACUGACCAACUAGUAUUUAUAGGAGUACAAACCUAACACUACUAAACCGACCAAAUCAAGUUCUAGGAGACUGUUUCAAUCCAUAUAAGGAUUUUUUCAGACGACAAACCAACCGCGAAUUCUUCCCCUGGACAACAAAUUUAGGAGGUUGUUCCAUAUAUACUUUUUCUUCCAAAUCUCCAUGUAGAAACGUAUUUUUCACAUUCAACUGAUAAAAUGACCAAUUAUAAGUUGCUGUCAAAGAGAUAAAAAGACGAAACAAAUGUAAUCUUUGCAACAGGAGAAAAUGUUUCUAAGUAGUCGAUUCCAUACACAUGAAUAAAUUCCUUAGCUACCAGAUGAGUCUUCAAUCUAUCAAUAGAACCAUUAGGCUGUACUUUUAUAGUGUACACAUAUUUACAACCAACAACUGGCUUACCAGAAAGAAGAGGAACAAGAUCUCAAAUAUUAAUUUUCUCCAAAGCAAACAUCUCUUCUUGCAUGGCUAAUCUCCAACCAGGAUGAUUGAGAGUAUGGGUAAUAGACUUAGGAAUGGAUACAGAAACAAAGGAAGCAACAAAAGAAGAAUAUGACAGAGAGAGACGAGAAUAAGAAACAAAAUUAGAAAUAGGAUGAGAAGUACAAUGUCUCUUACCUUUGGGUAAAACAAUAGGAAGAUCUGACUCACAGGAGGGCGUCAUACCUGAAUUUAAAGAUUGAGAGUUAAUUGGUGAAGUGCGUGGCAUAUCAGGAGCCUGCUCAAUUAUGGAACGACAAGAAUAAACUUAAAGAUUAGGACGAGAUAAUCGAGUUGUGGAAUCUAGUGGACUAAACAACUCAGAUAAUAAGAUGAAAGGACUGGUAAAACAGGAGAAGAAAAAGAGGAACACUGGUCUAACUCACAAGAUAUACCUUGAUUCAUAAAAUAAGGAAUGGAUUCAAAAAAAGUAGUAUCAACACAAGUAAAAAACGAUUUAAAACUUGACUGUUACAUCUAUACCCUUUUUGCGCUCGUGCGUAUCGUAAGAAAAUACACUUAAUAGUACGAGAAUCUAAUUUAUCCACCUCGAGAGCAAGCUGAUGAACAAAACACACACCAAAAAAUAUGAGGAGGUAAUUUAAAUAUAAGUUCAUGAGAAAAAAGAAUGGAGUGAGAUAAUUGGCCUCCAAAAAUAUUGGAUGUCAUGCAAUUAAUUAAAUAACAUGCAGUUAAAACUGCAUCACUCCAAAAUUGUUUGAGCAUAUUCAUAUGUAACAAAAGUGUUCGAGCAAUUUCAAUUAAAUGUCGAAUUUUUCUUUCAGCAACUCCAUUCUAUUGUGGAGUGUGGAGACAAGAAAACUGAUGAAGAAUACCGGACUUAGUCAUAAAUGUAUCAAAAGGAGUGAAAAAAUAUUCUUUUGCAUUAUUGCUGUGAAGUAUACGUAUAGGCACACCAAAAUAAUUCUUUAUUUCUAUAACAAAUGCACAAAAAAUGGAAUAUAGUUCUGAACAAUCUUUCAUUAAAUAAAGCCAUGUAACUCUGAACAAAUCAUCAACAAAGAUUACAAAAUAUUUAAAAUCUAACUUUGAAGUGACUCGACUAGGAUCUUAAACAAUAGAAUAAACUAACAAAAAGGGUUCAGAAACCCGUUUAUUGACUCUAGGGGUAAAAGAAAUACAAUGAUACUUUCCUAAUUGACAAGACUCACAUUCUAAUGAAAACAACUGAUUCAAGGUAGGAACCAACUUUUUCAAAUUUUGUAGAGACGAAUUAUUCAAACGACAGUGAAUUUCAAGAGGAGAAACAAUAGCAGGACACGCAAUCGGAUCGUUGGAGUCGAUAAAAUAAAGACCAUUAUACUCAUGCCCUCCACCAAUCGUUCUCUUUGUUUUCAAAUCCUGAAUGAAAAAAAAAUCAAGAGAAAAAGUAACUGAACACUGUAGAAAUUUAGUAACCUUACUAAUGGACAUUAGAUUAAAAGGCAAAGUAGGUACGUAAAGAACAGAAGACAGUGAAAGAGAUGGGUUAAUUUCUACAGUGUCUAAUCCUUUAACUUUAAUUGUAGAUCUAUCAACUAAAGUAACAUGAGGAAAGGAGAUAGACUCUUGAAAAUUAGAAAAUUUUCUAAAGGUACCUGACAUAUGAUCGGUAGCCUGGGAAUUAAUAAUCCAUGAGUCAAAAUUAGAAGAUGUGGAGAGACAAACCAUAGCAUUAUUUUUUUGUGCUAAAGAAGCAAAGAGAAGAGAUGCGUGAUUUGUAAUUUGGUACUACAGAAAUUUAACAUAAUCUUAUUAGGAUAUGGUAAAAGUCUUUUGGGACCCCCUUGUGCUGAAGAAUUUGAUUCAGUUUGGUCAGUAGUAACCACAUUAGCAAAUCAAGGAGGUUUUCCAACUAAAUCCCAACAAGUAUCACGAUUAUGAUUUUUCAAACUACAAUGAGUGCACUCACGGAUGCCUCGACCUCCAUGACCCCCACGACUUCCUCUACUUCUUCCUCCAUGAGAGCCAUGUCCAAAACUAAGUUGCUCAUAUCCAAAGCUAAGUUGCUCUAUCUGAUUGUUAUUAGCAACUAAAGCAAACUUGUCAUUAAUUAGAGCACCAUCACCCUGUGCAUUGUCCUUAGAUGUAGAACGUGAGACCCGAACAUACGCCUCUGUAAAGGAUGGUAAUUGUUUACCUGCUAAAAUUUGAGAUUUGAUUGGUUCAAAUUCUGGCUUAAAGCCAGCCAAGAAUUUGAGCACAAGCAUUUGUUCUAUUUGCCUCUGUAUAACUGUAAUAUCACUUGAGAGAGGCAUUACAACAUUUAAUUCUUCUGAAAUUCGCUUGAUAUCAGCAAAAUAUUCAAUUACUAUUUUGUUAUCUUAUUGCAACUGAAAAUACUCCAAAGAAAUAUCAUACAUCUGUGAAAGAUUACUGCAGUAUAAUAACCGGACAUAAUCCCAAACUUCUUUUGUUGUCUCACAAUGAGUACACAUGUAAGCAAUUCGUGGCUCCAUAGAAUUCCAUAUUGCUCCAAGAAUUUUGGCAUCCUUUUGAAUCCACAUUAGUCUCUUGUUGUCCUCCAUAGGAGAGUCAUCUGUGAGACAUCGUUGCUUUCCUAGACUUGUCAGACAAAUUUUAACGGCUUUUGACCACGGUUGAUAAUUAGUAUCAUUUAACUUCCAAUUUGUGAUUUGAGACAUCACCAUUGGCAUAAUAUUAGUAGAUGUCACGAUACUUUUUAAUAAACUUUUAACCAUAGCGAAUAGCAGUUCAAAUUAAAAAACAGUCAAAACUCGUGAUGAACAGUACCGUGUAAACAAUACGCGAUGAACAAUGUUGCGUGAGCAGUGCAUGAUGAACAGUAUCGCGUGAACAAGACUUUUACUAGAUAUUUAACCCUAACCCUAGGAUUUUAGCUCUGAUACCAUGAGAAUAUGUAUUUUGGGAGAAAAACAUCUAUUCACCGUAUUAUGAGUGAUCAACUAGUAUUUAUAGGAGUUCAAACCUAACAAACUAUUUACAAGAAUACCCUUACUAAUUUAUUAUCUAUAAGAAUACUUAUAUUCUCUUAACACAUAAUAUAUCUCAAAGAUCAUUUUCUUACAACUUGUAAAAACUACUUGUGUAAAAAGAAUCCACUAGCCUACCAACCACUCCAUUUGGUUGAAUUUCACCAUGAUAUAUAGUUUUCAUCAUUUUUUUUAUUCGAACACCAAUUUGUACUUCCUAAUUUAGUUUGCUAUUUUGCUUUUGAUGAUGAUUUUUAGAGAUUAGUAAAUUUGCAUGUAUGGUCAUAUUUCUUUUUUUUUUCGUUAAAGUGUAUACAAAAGUUUCCUUAUUUGGGAAGUUAUACAUAAAAACAGACUUAGCGUAAAGAUUAUGUAAUAGAAUUCAAAUUGUUGGAAAAAAAAAUCUUGCUUGACCUCAAUAGCGAUAAAUUUGUUAAAGAACAUUUUGUCAUGAAUUAUUUGUUUUUUUAUUUCCUUUUAUGCACAUAUGGUAGAAAAUCAACAAUUCACUAUCAUGAUUCUAUAUUAAUAUAAUGUUUAAAGUAAAAAGCCAAAACUAAAUUGUAUCAAAUGGACCACUUUUAUAAGUGGAUAUAAUAUAUUUUUGUUGUAUUUUCAUAAUAAUUAUUUUCUUUACUAGUUAAUUAAAUUGAAAUAAUGUUCAUGAAAACACUGAUUACAAGCUUAGAACUCGUAAAAAUGGUUUGUGUAUAGAUAUUCGAGUAAUACUACUACACGAACAUGGACAUCUAAAUAAUUUUGUUUAUUGAUAAAACAUUUUUGGGGUGAAAUAUCUAAUGAGGGAUUUCUAAGUAGAAUUGUUGAACUUUAAAAGUGCACAAAUAUCACGUUAGGCAUAUUCUUCAUAGAUUCGUCUACCUUGCUUUCUUUUCACUUGAAUAUUUAUGGGUAAAAUUUUUCUUAACAUUUGAAUUUCUUAGUAUUUACUUUCUAGUGGUAUUCGUUAGGUUAAAAAGUAACACAGCGUUUUUAAUUUUCCUUUAGAAAAACACACAACAUCACGUGAGCAAAAAUCUCGUGUAGCUACUAUGAUACUACUACCAACAAAUCCACCACUUAAAUUCUCACACACACAAAUCUAUGAUAAUCAUAGAUGCACAGAUGAACUUUCACAAAUUCAAUGAUAUUUAUCCAAGCUUAUCUAAGUAUUUGCUGUGAUAAAUGUUCUUUGUUUUCUUUUGAGGUGGUUGGUGGGGUAGAGAUUGUUUUUUUGUGAAAUUUUGGAUUAAUUAUUUCCUCUCACACACGCACUGUGACAUGUUCACAUGUAGAAUCAAAAUCGAUUUUAAAACACAUGUAGGACAUGCAUGAGAAAAAUGUGUUAUUUCAAUUACAAAAUAAUAAGUAAAUCCAAGAAAAAAGUGAGAAUGCAAGGAUAGAAGUCAAGCAGGAAAGAAGAGCAAAUUUUGCUUUAAAUGAAAAAAGUGGCCAUAUGAGAAUGGAUGUCAGGACUCCCAAAUUUUCUUACUUUAAAUUCCUAUUAUGAGUUCAUUUAAAUAUUUAUUUGGUCGUUUAUUUCGAAUAUUUUAUUUCAGCCUCUUUAUACUCAAUUACAUGGGACUAUGACCUAUAAGUAUUUUAAAAAUGUCUUGAUUCGAAAAUUUAUUUUUGAAAGCUCAUUUAGAGUGAAUGGUCGAUGCACGUUUGGAGACAUUAAUUGAUUCGAGGACACAAUAAGUUUGGAAAAUUGGAGACUUGCACAUUAGUCUUGAAAUAGGUUUUUUUACGUUUAAGUACUCAAGUGUUAGUUAUUUAUACUAUCGUUAUAAGAAUUUCUUGGAAGUUUCGUCGUAAUGUGUGCAAAUAGAAAGUUCACGUAUAUUGAACCGAAGCGGUAAAUUGGAGAUUUGAGAAAUUCAUUUUAGACUAUUAAGAGUGAAUAAUAAUAGUACGAAUGGAAGUGCAUUAGAGGUUUAGUGCACUAGUGAAACAAACUCGAGAGGAAUCGAGCAUGAAACACGUGCAUGCGCAAAUAGAGGGAGAGUUGACUUUUGAGACAAUUUGAACCACACAUUUAAGCUUCCCAAGAAAGCUUCAUUUUUAGCAAACACACCCCUCUCUCUUCACUCAUAGCAGUCGGCCACAAGGAGGAAGAAAGAACCAACAUUUCUUCUUCAUUUCACCACUCAAAUCUCACCCAAAUCACUUCAAAAUUUACACACACUUUGCAAACCACUUGGAGAUCAACCUAAGUUAGGAAAAGGGCUUGCUUCUCAUGGUUUUCUUUAGCUUCCAAGGACUGAAGUUUUCUGUCUUAGUCAUCUACAAAGGUAAACAACGAUCAACCUCUUAAAACUUGGUUUAUGGAAGUUAUCUUGCACUUGUAAGCUCAUAAAUUCAUGUUGGUAGCUUUAUAUUGUUCGAAAUCUUGUGAGUGGACUCUAUGAAAUCCCACAAUGGCUUGAUGAACUGAUUUGAUGUUAUUUAUAUUGGAUUAGUGCUUAAUCUAGUGAAAAUAAAUUGUAUUGUGGAAGAAAGCUCAAAGGAAGUGAAAAGAGAAUUUUACCGUUUCUACCCCUGCUAUUGCCGUGCACUUUGGUGCAUUUUUUUGUGGUCCAAUUGACUUGUUUAUGAUUUAGAUAUGUUGUGUAGGUUGUGUGGAAAGUUUCACAAAAAAUUACGUGAUUUGGAUAGGUAAAUGUUGAGAUUUCAAAUAUGUAGAAAAACUAGAAACGUAACCAGAGCCUCUCUGGCAGUGAUUUUGUUUCCCAUAACUCUUUGUUUCAAUGUCGAAAUCAAGUUCUGUUUGUGGUAUUAGAAAUUAGACACUUCCAGUUUUCCAACAGUGUAAAAUGCAUGCCCUGAUUCCACCUGAGUGAGCCGUACCAACCUUGUAAAUUUGCCUGUUCUGUUUCUCGUCUGUACUGGAAGCCCUGUUUGAGCUGCGACUUGAUGCUCAAAUAUGAGUUAGUUGUGGACAGAAUUUUUAAAUGAUUCCUUCUGAGAAAUUGUAGCCUUAUGAAUGUAAUUUUCAACGCCACCAACCACGCUCAAUUCUGAGUUGAAUUGAGUGAGUUGUGACCGGAUUUCAGAUCUGUCUUCGUAAAAGAAAACCCUAAUUCUGGACUGAUUUAUAGCUAAUCUUGAUUUGGGACUUGUUAUUCGAAAUCUUUGGUGUUAAUCAUCUACCAAAUGUAUCUUGGAUAUUUAUUAGACCUUGUUUUCAUAAAUAAAUCAUGUUCGAGGAAAUUUUAUUGGCCAAAUGUUUGAAAAAAGGAAAACGCAAGUGCAGGGAAGAUUUGCCUUAGCAAAUUGUGGAAUUUUAAUGGUUUUGUUAACCAACUUUCCGAACGAAUUUUUGUAUGAAAUUUGACAUAGAAAUAGCCCUUAUAUGGUAGUGUAAUCAUACCAAAUUUGGUGCCAUUCCGAGUCCAUUUCGAUGCUCAACCAAAGAUUCAAAGUCUAUGUUUUAAUCCUAGAAAAUGGUCUAACAGUCGCAACUUUUGGGUAAAUUUGAACCACCAUAUCUUGAUGCUCAAAAUCCCAAUUUUUGUUUUGCUUGUUUUGUUUUAAACUUUGAUUAUAACUCUAAUUGAUUUCCAUAUUUCAAAGGCUAGUUCGCAUUGUGUGAAUUUUGCCGAAUUUCCAAAGUUGGCCAAAAACCAACCCCAAAAACUGCCUUAGUAUUCAAAACAGCAUUUUGAACCCAAAAUUUGAAUGUCUUUCAUUUGGAAUCAUGGAAAAGUGUCUUGUAGAAACUUUUAGUACUUUGUAAGUACUUUCCAACGGUACCAAGUUUUCCAAUUUUGGACUUACAAAGAGUGAGUUACGAUUUUUCAAAGAUCGCUCGACAAAUCUGAAAUUUUCGAACUUAAAGAAAAUUGAGGGUUUCGAACUCUCCAUUUUUCUUUAAUAUUGAUAGACCAUUUUACACUUGAUUUCAAAGAUAAAAAUCAAAUUUUUCUUGUGUUUUAAAACCCCACCUUUGAGCCUCAAUUUGCGAGUAAUUAAGGCUCAUUUUCAUGAGAUUUUCUUAGAUUGUACUCUAGUGCAAUCCUCCUCGAUAAUUAGGGGUUUUAAGCGAUAGUGUGUAAUAGUUCAUUAUUAAUUGAUCAGGCAUUCAAGAGAACCUGCAAGAGGAUGUCACGAAAGACGCCUAAACAAUCGCUUGUCAUUGCUUUUUAAAUUACUUGGUGAGUGUCAAGUGUAUGUAAACUUGAUAUGUGUUUAAUUGUUAUUAGUGAUUGGGAAUUUUGAAAAUACUGAGUCGAGUGUGUAUCUUACCACACUCAGUCUCAUUUGUAUGAAUCAUGAAUGACUUAAUUGAAUCGAAAUGAAUGAAUCGUGAAUGACUUGAUUAAAAUGAAAUGAAUGAUUGAAUGUAUUGAAUGAUUGAAUGAAAUGAUUAAUUAUACUAUGGCUGCAUAAGUCGAUUGGAGCGAUGCCUCAUCGACCGCUGAGCGAUUGUAAGUACCACACCGAUUUGGUGGGAGGUACCUCUCGAGUCAUCUCAGUACCGUAAACCAUGCUAAGUCGAUUGGAGCGAUCCCCCACUGAACGAUUGUAAGUACCAUACCGAUUUGGGGGGAGGUACCUCUCGAAUCGUCUCAGUACCCUAAACCUCUGAACGAUAGCAAGUACCACACCGAUUUGGUGGGAGAUGCCUCUCGAAUCGUCUCAGACCUAUAAACUGAGCGAUAGUAAGUACCACACCGGUUUGGGUAGGAGGUGCCUCUUGAGUCGUCUCAGAAACCUAAAUGGAAUAGGUAAAGUGCUAUGAAUUUAAUUAUCUACCCGAGUGACGGGGUAUUGUCACGAGAAGGUAUUGGAUUGAAUUUGGGCAAAGUAAAUAAAGAUUAAACUCCUGAGAGAUCCUACAUCCUUCUCAAGGGGGUUUAUUAUAAAUUGUGAAUUUCUUAAAUGUUAUAGUUUUCACUAUUGUGUAAGUGCUAUUGCUAUUGAAUUACUUGUCUUACAUGUUUUCUUGACCUCACGAGUAUUCGCUCACCCUGUUAGAUUUUUUUUCCUUAACAGGAGCUGAAAUGGGAGGAAUUCUGGAGAAACUUACUUGAUGCUACAUUUGAUUAGAAUUGUGAAUGUAUUUGUUUAGAAUUUGAUUUUGGAAGCUGUAUAUUUUGGGAAUGUAAAGUAAUUGGGUAGAUUAGGAUGUAAGACUUGAACGUUUAUAAAGGAAUUGACCUUCCUUUAUCUCUUUGAUAUUUAGUAUCGAUUGGUUAUUAUUGAAUUUAAAUUGAAUUAGUACGGAGUUCUGGCGAGAGUUGGGCAGGCGUUUCGUCGAUACCCUUGAGUUCGCCCUUGGGAGAAGUGGGGGUGUCACAAUAGACAUCGUGGCAAGAAGAACAAAAUUUGCUUCAAUUGCGUGAUGAUAAAAGCAAUCAAGGAAAAGAUAGAUAACCAUUGAAGAUCGGUGAGAUGAGAUAGUCAUUAAUUUACUCUAUUGAAGCAUAUUCCAAGGAUGAUUUCUCACAUAGAUCUGACUCUCUCAAUCUUUGGUAAGUUAUAGAUCCAAGUGGUACAUUCUUGUACAUUGACUGAUCUUACAAUAUUAUUUUUUGACAUGCAACUAUAAUACAUUUGCAAGGAAAUGAUCCCUAGGCAUAAUUUAGGUUGUGCAAAACACUCUUAAGACAUUAAAAUUAUUGUGGUAGCACCAUUGACACCAUAAUUUUAGUAGGUAUCAACACAUACUAAUGUUUAAAUUGUGAUUUGCAUCGUCUAAUUUCUAUAUAUAAAAGGAGAGGAGAGGGUUGGUGCAAAUAUAUUGUGUCACUUUGUGUUAUACCUAAAGUAACCUUUAAAGUUAGUCAUCAAAACUAUUCACAUUUCCUCUUUUGUUUUCCACCAUAGUUUCAAUACAAUAAAUUCUUCCAAAGUCUUUUUUUUUUUUUGAAUGUUUAAAAUCAAUGUAACAUUCAUAAUCAAGGACCAGAAAACAGAGUUGAUGGCUGAGUAUUCCAGAACAAGAAGCUAUUGACUCCUAGUCCAAGAUGAUUACCUUUAGGCAAAAAUAUUUCUUAGUACACUGAGGAAUUAAGUCACUGCAGUCUAAGCUCUUGCACGUCUUAAAUUACCAAAUAGCCUACUUGAAAUAAAACAAAACUGAAUAAACACACGAGAUUUACUAAACUUCAAAGUGAAACCGAUUACUGUGAAACGCCCAACCACUUUGAGAAGUUCUCAAACUCGGUGUAAUCACUAUCUGAGAUCAUUGUUUUGUACCAUGACUUUCCAGCAGCUUUUACAGCAGACGUCUCCUCCUUCGUCAUUGGACUCCUCUUCUUGGCCAGCUUCUCCCUCUUAGCCUCAACACGCUGUUUCUCAGCCAAGAGAGCCAUCCUCCUAGCAGUCUUGGCAUAAGGAUUGAGCUUGAGCAAACAAUUCAAAUUCUUCCAAAGUCAAACUAUUCACAUUCUCUCUUUUUUUCCACCAUAAUUUCAAAUACAAUAAAUUGCUAUAAAGAAAUAGUACUUACAGAUUUUCCAAAUAAACACUUACAUGUGUAGCAUGAAAUGCAAUAACUUAACAUGUUAGGGAAAAAUCAUACACUUUGUAAAAUAAACACACACUUAAGGUGUGACAAAAGCACUAGUUUUGAAAAAGUAGGCGAUUUGACAAAAUAAGAAGUGAAUGAUAUUAAAAUUCAAACAAAAUAGAUGGCUAGAAGAAUUGAUAUUUGAGAAUGACUUAUAACAAUAAAAGUUUCUCUAUUUUCCUUAGUUGAGCCUUGAAUUCUCUAAUUAAAGACCUAAUUAAAAAGAGCCAACACAAAUUAUAAAAAAGAAAAGUUUACAUGCCAACAAUAAUUUAUGUGUAUAGUUACCUAAAUAUCACGAAUAACUAAAGCAGAUUUUGUAAUUUUUUUAUCACAAUAAGCAAUUAGAAAUUAUAACAUCUUACAACAAUAUAUAUAAACUCAAUAGAACAGUAUAUAUAUGCAUAUAUAUAUAUAUAUAUAUAUAUGCAAUCAGAGGCCAGAUGAGCAUCUCAAUGAUUGGGGCUAAUAUCACUUGUUAACUGACACAACUUUUAACCAUAAAAGAAUGAGAUGUGGCAGCCCGACUACCUAGAAUUUAGAACAUUUCAAAACUUUUGAACAUUUCAGAUUUGGUUUUUGCUAAAAUGUACACAACCUUCUAUAUUUUCCUAUAGCCUAUGGGAGCCAAGAGCUACGGGAAGACAUUGCAAGAUUUGCAGCUUAAUGUCACUUAUAUGUACUAAAGUACUUGCUUGGUUAAUGCGCAUGAAUUGAAGAAUCUAACCUUAUGACAAAUGCAUCACAUGGUUUAUAUUUUAUGGUUAAUCCUUUUCUGGUAUAUAUUUUAUAGUUUUGGUCAUUUAUUGACAUUAAGGAUGGUGAUGUUGCCUCGUGUAAGAUUGACACCUCCUACCAUCACAUCCAUAGCUAUCACCCCUUUUUCAAUCUCAUCUAUUUGAAAGAAAAGAAAGUGGCCAUAACCAUCUGUUGUUUUCCAAACAUAGUUACCUAAGUUUGUUGAAUAAAGUAAUUGACAAACAUGAGAUUCUCGUACGAAUUUUUUUAGUUGGCAUCAAAGUCUAUGGCUUAAAUUAUAUACUGUGACAGGUUUGUCAGUUAGAUACAUUACGAAACUCAAAAAGUACAAACUUAUUUCCUUAUUCUGAUGGAAAGACAAUAAUUUAAAAAAAUUAAGUCACGCAACAUGGGUUUUUUUUCACGCAAUAUGGAUUUAAUAAAUCAAGUGCUUGGAAGGAUGAUUCUUGAAAAGGUGAUUAUGAAUGUUUGGAAUGCAUUCCUAAUGCACAACAAAGAGCAUAUUUACUUCCACUGACAUACAUUGAAUCUGAUAUAUUAGUGCUUUGGUAUCUGGGAAACUGUUGUAGGAUUAGAACUCUUUCGUACAUUAAUGAUUGAUGUAUCAAUAUUCAAGGAUAUAUGCUCAAGACUUCAAAAGGAAAAAAAAUUAAAUAAGAAAUGAAGAUCUUUCUGAAUUGGUAUAUGUCGUGUGUUUCAAAGUUUGGCUUUGGAAUUGGAUAUCUUGUCUAUUUUGAACAUUCAGUGUACUGAUUUUGCUGGUAUCCUUACAUGACAAAGAGUAUCAGUAAUUAAUUUAGUGACAUGCAUAUAUAUAAACGUAUAUGUACCAGAAAAGAGUUUUUCGAUUAAUUUUGGAUUAGAGUUUUUGGUUUCAAAAUCACUUUUAGCACAAAUUCAAAAUUAGCAAUUUUGGGAUAACUUUUAUUCCUUAAAAAAUUAAAAAUAAAUUUUGACUAAUUUAUCAUUCUAUUCAAAAUGUUAUAAAGAUUACAAAUAUAAUUUAGAAUUCAAAAUCAUACAUUAUCCAACAAAAAAAACUUACGUAAGUAUAACGUUAAACGACUGAAUUAGAUAUACAUUAAAGUGUAUCUAAAGUGUGUACUUUGGCAUAAAAAAGUUAAAAGUUUGCAAGCGAAGUAAGAUUAAGCUUACUUCUUCUCGUGUUUCUUAAUAGCAGAUAAUUGAAGAAUGUGAAGAAAAAGAAGUUCUUAUCAUCUAAACAAUGCAAUUUGUGAUAGCCUACGUGCUCCCGAAAGGAUCUAACUAACUAUAUCUUUAACGUAGUUUAAAAAAAAAAAAAAGAGAGGAAAACUUGCAUUUGAGUUCUCAUGUUGAACAUGCUCAUAUCAUGUUUUUGGCGUCUACAAUGGAACUCGAAGUUGAUCUCUUCCUCUGAACAUCUUUCUCGUAGGAAAAUGACAUAUUUUUGUCAUCGCUCAAAUGCCCCACAAUCGGUGCGCUACAUCAUUACCUUACGAGUGUUAGUACCGACAAAAAAAAACACAGAAACGUGUAUGCAUGAAAAACAAAUCAGAAAGGAUGUGUUCACAUAGCUCAAUUGAACAUGCUGUCAUGAACUCACUUCUGACAAGAAAACUAGACUUCCCUUGGUUGCUGAUGAUACAGCUAUUUGGUCCUUGCUGGAAAGCACAGGAUUUUAUAAUCCUACCAAGAUGGCCAUUUUUGGUUGUUGGAAAUAUUUGGCAUGUAAUGAGAAAAAGACUUAGUGUUAAGAGUUUCUUUUGUAACGCCCUUGGAUUUGUAAGAAAUUAAGUUAACACAAGUUAUAAAGAAAGUAGGGUGUUAUUUAUAAAAAUUAACAAGAAAAUAUAACCUGACCUAUACAUUUAUGAGACAUGCUGUUUGAAGAAGCGCAGAGCUUCCCCGAGGAGAGCUGACUGAUCAGCUCGGGGUGUCGAUGGGAGAGCUGAUCCAAGACCUGCAAAACAGAGAAGAGGGGCUAACAAAGGGGCCCCGAGGUGGUCCCCGAGGGCACUCCGACGGCCAAGUUAGUUCUCCGGUGAGUAGGGUUCACGGGGAGUGGUAACAGCCGGGGGUAAUUGGCCUAUAGCGAGCGUACCUUGGGCAAUGGGUGUGUAGCACUAUUUAUACCUGGGCCAGAGUCCGACCUCCGUACGUUCCGGGACCUUCCUGAUAUAAUCUCAAUCCCGCGCCGAGCGGGAUCUCCUCCGACCUCUGCGGGACGGUCUCCUGAUCCCCCUGGAGCCCUAGCGGGGGUGCGGCCCAGGGCGGUAACCAGGAGCCUGGGGCCGGAACCCAACUCGGCUAUACCUGGGCUGCCACGUGUCUAGGCCCAAUACAGGGCCUCUGCACUAGCCCCCUAGAUUAGGUAAGGCUUCCAGGCAAACCUAAUCUAUACUCUGUCACGUGGGAGACCAGCGUCGCGCACUGCUCUGCCCCGGUCACCUCUGGUACAGUGCUGUCACUGAGAAAACCGCGCCGAUCUCCUAGGUCGAGCGUCAAACUCCCAAGUUUCGACAAACUUGAUCAAUGCGUGCCGACCUCAUGGGACCGAGCAUCAAAUUAACACUAACAUGGUUUAAGCCCCCGACUUUUAAAGAUUUGAGCCUUGCCGACCUCUUGGGUCAAACAAACUUAUUCAAGUUAAGGCACAACGUGCCGACCUCUUGGGGCCGAACAUCGCACUUUCCGACUUCAAAAUUUCAAGCCGUGCCGGCCUCUUGUGGCCGAGCAUCAUACUUUGAAGGCAGUCACGCCAACCUCCCGGGUCGAGCGUCAAACUCUGAUUUUAGCGGAUAUGCCAACCUCUUGGGGUCGAGCAUCACAUUUCCAAGGCAGUUAUGCCGACCUCCUGGGUCGAGCGUUGAACUCCAUGAUUUUAGCAGACGUGCCGACCUCUUGGGGUCGAGCAUCACAUUUUCCAGGCAGUCAUGCCGACCUCUUGGGUCGAGCAUUACAUUCUCAGGGCAGUUAUGCCGACCUCCUGGGCCGAGCGUUGAACUCCAUGAUUUUAGCAGACGUGCCGACUUCUUGGGGUCGAGCAUCACAUUUUCCAGGCAGUCAUGCCGACCUCCUGGGUCGAGCAUUACAUUCUCAGGGCAAUCGUGCCGACCUCCUGGGCCGAGCCAGCGUGCUCCCUGGUUUUGACAAGCUGCCUCAAAGUAAGUCACGGCGUGCCGACCUCUUGGGCUCGAGUAUCACACCUUCAAGACGGUCAUGCCGAUCUUUUGGGUUGAGCGUCAAGCCCCCCGUCUUUAACAGGCGUGCCGACCUCUUGGGGUCGAGUAUCGCACUCUCAAAUUUCGCAAUUUCAAGCCGUUUGCGGACCUCAUGGGGGGUUUUUCCGUCCUCUCCGCUCUCCGAGCCCCCCGCGCCCCCGGCCGCCUCGGUCUCCGCUCGCUAGGAUCCCUCGCCGGCUCUCGGGCCGGUGCUCUCAAUGGUUCGCUUGGAUCGUGUUCUUGCCAUCAAUACAACAAUAAUUACCUUGCGUUUCCCACAGACGGCGCCAACUGAAGAAGCGCAGAGCUUCCCCGAGGAGAGCUGACUGAUCAGCUCGGGGUGUCGAUGGGAGAGCUGAUCCAAGACCUGCAAAACAGAGAAGAGGGGCUAACAAAGGGGCCCCGAGGUGGUCCCCGAGGGCACUCCGACGGCCAAGUUAGUUCUCCGGUGAGUAGGGUUCACGGGGAGUGGUAACAGCCGGGGGUAAUUGGCCUAUAGCGAGCGUACCUUGGGCAAUGGGUGUGUAGCACUAUUUAUACCUGGGCCAGAGUCCGACCUCCGUACGUUCCGGGACCUUCCUGAUAUAAUCUCAAUCCCGCGCCGAGCGGGAUCUCCUCCGACCUCUGCGGGACGGUCUCCUGAUCCCCCUGGAGCCCUAGCGGGGGUGCGGCCCAGGGCGGUAGCCAGGAGCCUGGGGCCGGAACCCAACUCGGCUAUACCUGGGCUGCCACGUGUCUAGGCCCAAUACAGGGCCUCUGCACUGUUUGACAAUUUUAACUAACCUAAGAGUUUUAUAAUGAAUAAUCACUGGUCAAUGAUACAAUAAUCAUCCAUUAGAAACCUAUUUACUUAAUGUCGUAUUCGCGUGCUUAUCAAAUUAGUUAGACCAAAGUAAAAAAAAAAAAACUCCGAUCCAAGUUUGUUAUCUAUUAUCUAAUAAGCAUUGUUUUAUAGAGGGGUGUCAAUUAUUAGUUUUUUGUUUAAAAAAUUAAGAUUAAAUAAAGAAAUUAUACAAAUACUAAUGAAUGAUAUGUGAUAUAUAUAGUGUGUGUGCACUUAAAUGAUUAGAUUAAAAUAGAUAUGCUAACAAAUACCUGAUAAGCAUUGAUUUAAAAAAAAAAAGUCCUUCAAUUAACAUGAUUUUCAUAUUUUCAUGUUAUUAAAGGGAGGUUAAAAGUACAAUGAAAUUGAGUUUAGGUCCUAAACACUCAAAGCUGGUUUUAACAACAAAUGGAGGGUUAAUUCCAUUUUGCAGCCUUCAGGUAUAAAUUGGAAUAUUUUAGUCCCUAAACUAUAUCCUGAUUCUCACUUCAAUCUCUAAACUCGUUAUUUUGAGAUUUUUGUUUAUUGUUUGAUUGCAUAUUCCUUCUGUGCCCUUACAAGAUGCAACCAUACUGCUCAUGUGACUAACAUUACGUUAGUUUUGCAGAUUUUCUUAACAAUUAUACUUAAGUAGGAUGAGUGGAACUAAAUGUCCCAUUCAUGUUCAAGGAUCAAAGUCGGAAUUGAGAUAAAGUUGACAGGUGCAAUAUGGAAUUAACACACAAAUGAACGAGUUAAAACAAACUCAUACAUUUAUGCUGUUUCUCUUUUGUUACCGAUACCGCACUAACUGUUUGAAAUUCCAAAAUGAGAAAAAAGUUAACAUCUCUAAGUUAUACAUUAUGACCAAACAAACAACUUUUAUUGUGAACCUUUUAUGUUUAAUUUGGCAUACGUUGUGUCCGAAUCUCCUAUCAUCCAGCAUAAGUUGGGGUUAGAUCUACUUCGCAUUCUUAACUAUACCUGAGUUUUAACUUUGAUUGCUAAACUUUAAAAUGAGACACUUUAAUUUCAAAUUAUCCUAAAAUAUAAAACUUGUCCAUUUUAGUCCCUAAAAUAUAAAAUUUGUUCCAAUUUAAUUCCUAAAGUACAUCCACUUAGGCAUAAAAUCUAUCUCAUUUUCUUAACGACGUUACUUAAGUGGGACAAAUUUUAUAACUUAGGGACUAAAGUGCCUCAUUUUUAAGUCCAAGGACUAAAGUGAAAAUUUAGGUAUAAUUGAUGGGUGCAAAGUGAAAUUAGCCGUAUAAGUUGAGAAUAGGUGGUUGUAAUACGAAUACACAGCAGUAACGACUAAUAAGCUCAAGAAUACUUUCCUUUUGAUGUACAAAGGUGAAGAUUAUGAACCUUUAUGCUUACGUGAAGUUUGUGAAGGUUAUGAACAUUUAUGCUUAUGUAUAAAGGUGAAGGUGAAGGCUAUGAACCUUUAACACCUUCUCUUUAUGCUUGGUUGACAAGGAUAGCUUGAAUCACAUCUUUCCUCAUUGCCCUCUUGCAGUGCAGGUUUGGGCUCUGUGUUAUCUUUACAGCAAGCUACAUCUAGAUAGGCCCCAAGUUUUUUCUUCUUGAUUUCCUUCCCUUCUCCUUUUCCUGCCUGCGUCAGACAUGGAACUUGUUGCUACUAUUUUGUGGAGUUUAUGGAAUAACAGGAAUGGGAAAAUAUUUGAAGGGACUUCUAAAGACCUUCGGUACCACUAUUCGGUUCUGGUAUUUUAAAAUACCUUCAGAACUAAAGUUGAAAUAAGUCGUUUCCCCUUUUUCCACCUUCUCUCCCUAUUUCCGCACCAUUGAAUCCCCCUUUUGAGCUUCUUUAAUCCGCUCCAGUAGGAUGGAGGUUACCCUAAUAUUACCAAAAAUCACUUUAUGACUUCCAAGGCAGGGUUUUCACUCGCAAACGGAUUCCAACAAAUUCCAUUCCUUGAUCAUCAGUCCUGCUACCUGAGUCUUGCGACUUAAGACAUCGGCUACCACAUUCGCCUUUCCCGGAUGGUAGUUAAUGGUGCAGUCGUAAUCCUCUAAAAAUUCCAUCCACUGCCGCUGUCUCAUAUUCAAUUCCUUUUGAGAGAAAAGAUACCUAAGGCUUUUAUGGUCGGAAUACACCUCGAACGUUACCCCAUAUAAGUAGUGUCUCCAUUUCUUCAAAGCGAAAACAACCGCGGCUAAUUCUAAAUCAUGGGUUGGGUAGUUUUGCUCGUGGGGUUUUAACUUCCUAGAGGCAAAAGAUAUCACAUUUCGGUUCUACAUCAGUACACACCCUAAGCCUUUUUGUGAAGCAUCGGUAUAAAUGGCAAACCCAUCAACUCCGUUAGGCAGGACUAAAACUGGCGCCAUAGUCAACCUUUUCUUUAACUCCUGAAAGCUCGCGUCACAUCUGGCAUUCCACACAAAUCGGCCGAUCAACUUUCGCUAGUCUCUUUAGCAACUAGCUUUUGGAAAGAUUACCAAGAAGCCGUCCAGAGUUCGCUACAUGGUUCUCCUGUACCUACUUCAGCCCCUACAUUUUUUAAAGGCCAACUUUGAUGGAGGAGUUUUUCAAAACGAAGGCUGCUGUGGCAUUGGAGUAGUUAUUAGAGAUAAUUCUCGUAAUUUCAUAGCUAGACUGACAAGCCAAGUUGAUGGUGUUUUAUCAGUAAAGGCUAUAGGAGCUUUAGCUGCUAAAACUGCAUUUCAUGUCCUACUUCAGCUUCAAGCUACGGAUAUUAUCCUCAAGGGUGAUUCUCAAGCAAUCAUUGAGAGCAUUAUUUCAUUGGAGGAUGAUUGGUCCAGUUUUUAGAUGAUCCCAAGAACUUGGGAAGCCAAUUGGAUCCCAAGAACUUAACAAUGUUAUGCAUAUAGCUGUUGGCUUGUCAUGCAAAACAUAUAAGCUAAAUGCUUCUAGGUGGGAUUCUACUCCGCCCAGACUUUUGUUAUUUUCGCUCUUAAUGUGGACAUUAGUUGAUAAUAAAAUCUAUGGUUCUUUAUCAAAAAAGAAUGUGAGCAAAUUGGUCUAAGGGGAGUUGGUUGUCAGUCUUAUUUAUGCGAUUUACAUUAUCUACUUGGAUCACGCUUGGCCAUCAUGGAAGCAGGCUCAAAUCUUGGUUCAAAGUCGCGAACGUGGUCCGAACAGUUCUACAUCGGUUUCAGCAUAUCGGUCGUUGUCUCGUCGAUCGAGAUGCAAAUUUUUGAAAUAUUUAAUAUUUUAAAAAAUAUGAUAAACAAAAAUAAUUAAAAAUAAUAGCAAAAAUAAUAAAAAUUCGAAUUGAUUCGAAAGGAUUCGACCAUUUCUAUUCCGUCUCGAUCAAGUUUUCAGCGAUUUAUUAUCUCGGAAUCAUCUUGUCCUGAUAUCGGAUCGGAAAGCCCCGUUCUAGUGACGACUCGACCGAGUCUUUGAACCAUGGCUCAAAUGCGGUGUUUGUAAUCUCUGCAACUGAUAGUUGCUCAUGGUGUGCCUUUUCUGCAGAAAUAACAGGUGCGUAGGAGGAAUGCAUGAAAUGGAUGCGUGGGUAUGGCACCAAGUUUGUUUGGAAUUCAGUAACAUCCACGUUAAGAGCACCAUCAAAGCGAAAAGAUGCUGUCAAGGAGGAGAUCACCUGCAUGCAAAAGACAGAUUAUGCUCGAAGACAUCCAUCAAUCAGGGAUCUUUGUUGGUCAGCUGAUCUAUUUCCCCAUUUGACAUCCAUUUCUACUUCUAGUUGACAUCAAAUUCUAGAAUUUUCAAAAAACAAGGCACAACAUUACCAAAGAUACCAGCAAGAUAAAUGAAUGGACUAGCCACGACAUGUUGUGUUAUUCCAUAUUUAACAAGUGCAAACAGCUUUACCUUUCAAACAGUAAUAGGGGUGGCCAGAAUAAAUGUCAUUAUAUUUCAUACCUGCGAAACCAGCCUGUUCAGAUUGAUGUAGGUAGGCCUCUCAAUAUCCAGUGAUCUACGACAAAUAUCAUAAAUGGCUUCAUUGUCCAAAAGCAUUGAAACAUCUGUGUGCUCAAGGAGCGAGUGAGUGGAAAGAACGCUGUUGUAAGGCUGAACAACAGCUGUUGAGACCUGGGGAGAGGGACAAAUUGUGAACCCAAGCUUUGAUUUCUUGCCAUAGUCGACUGAAAGCCUCUCCAACAGUAAGGAACCAAGGCCAGAGCCAGUUCCACCACCAACAGCAUGAAAAACUAAGAAUUCUUGUAAUCCUGUGCUGUUGUGAGCUAGCUUUCUUUCUACUUCAACAUUUAUAGAUAAAUUUUUCUCAACGUUUGAAUUUCGUAGUAUUUUCUUUCUAAUAGUUUUUACUAAGUUAAAAUGUAACACGAUAUUUUUAAUUUUUCUUUUAGAAAAACACAACAAGCCUCUAAAAGAGGAUCCCGUGCAACUGCUAUACUACCAUCAAAUCCACCACUUGGAUUUUUACACACACUAAUUUAUGAUGAUAAAAAUGCAACUUUCGCAAAUUCAAUGAUAUUUAUCCCUGCUGAUCUAAGUAUUUGUUGUGAUAAAUGUCCUUUUGAUUUCUUUUGAGGUGGUUGGUGGGUUGGAGGUUUUUUUUUUGUGGAAUUUUGGAUUAAUUAUUUCCUCUCUCUCUCUCUCUCUCUCUCUCUCUCACACACACACACAAGCGAUAUAUACACUAUGACACAGUCACAUAUAGAGUCAGAAUCAAUUUUAAAACGUGUAUGACAUGCAUGAGAAAAUUGUGUUAUUUCAAUUUAAAAAAUAAUAAGUAAAUCCAAGAAAAUAGUGAGAAUGGGAGGAUAGACAUCGAGUUGGAAAGAAGAACAAAAUUUGCUUUAAAUGAAAAAAUUGGCCAUGUGAGAAUAGACAUCAUGGCAAGAAGAACAAAAUUUGCUUCAAUUGCGUGAUGACAAAAGCAGUCGAGAAAAAGAUGGAUAACCAUUGAAGAUCGGUGAGAUGAGCUAGUUAUAAAUUAACUCUAUUGAAGCAGAUUCCAAGGAUGAUUUCUUACAUAUAUCCAAGUCUCUCAAUCUACGGUGGGUUAUAGAUCCAAGUGGUACAUUCUUGACAUUGAUUGAUCUUACAAAUUCUUUUUUUACAUGCAACUAUAAUACAUUUGCAACGAAAUGAUCCCUAGGCGUAAAUCGACACAUACGAAUGUUUAAAUUGUUAUUUGCGUUGUCUAAUAUCUAUAUCUAUAUUAUAUAUAAAAGGAGAGGAGAGGGUUGGUGUAAACAUUUUGUGUUACUUUAUGUUAUACCAAAAGCAACCUUUAAAAUUAGUUUUCAAACUAUUCACAUUUCAUCUUUUUUUUUUCCACCAUAAUUUCAAUACAAUAACUUCUUCCAAUGUCAAACUAUUCAGAUUCUCUCUUUUCCUCCACCAUAAUCUCAAAUACAAUAAAUUGCUCUAAAAAAUUGUAAUUACAGAUUUUCCAAAUAAACAAAUACACAUGUACCAUGAAAUGUAAUAACUUAAUAUGAUGGAAAAAUAAUCAUAUUUUUUUAAAAAAAUAAACACACACUUAAGGUGUGCCGAAAGCACUAGUUUUAAAAAAAGUAUGUGAUUGCUGACAAAAUAAGAAGUGAAUAAUUUAAAUAUUCAAGCAUACAAGAAAUACACAGUUACGAGAAUUGAUAUUUGAAAAUCAUCUAUAACAGUAAAAGAUUUUCUAUUUUCCUACACAAAUUAUAAGAAAACAUUUAAAUGCACACAAUAAUUUAUGUGUAUAGUAACCUAAAUAUCAUGAUUAACUAAAGUGGUGGAAUUUGUAAUUUUUAUCAGAAUAAGCAAUUAGAAAUUAUAACAUCUUACAAUAAUAUAUAUAAACUCAAUAGAACAGUUUAUAUAUAUAUAUAUAUAUAUAUAUAUAUAUAUAUAUAUAUAUAUAUAAUUAACACGUGGUAUUAGCCCCCAUCAUUGAGAUGUUCAUCUAGCCUCUAAUUGCAUAUAUAUACCUGCUGAUUAAACCACUAAAUGUGAACUCGGCAAUUGCCAAUCAGUGGAACUGUGAAACUUGUUGGUCCUUUAAUUAGAAGGAGAAAGGACAUGUUUAUCACUAGCUUUACCAUAUUUGAAGGAUGACAAUAUACAAGCAAGAAAAUACAUAGAACAAAAGAAACCAGGCAAUUUCAACAUUUCUACAUCAAAUUAAGAUAUUAAAGGAAAUCAGAAUUGUCUAUUUACAUAGCAUAUUCCAUUCUGUUUAUUGAAGUUUUACAAUAUUUCACAGCUAAAAGAUGCACCUAGUGCUCUACAUUAUUUGUCUAUGCCAGUUGAAUUUCUUUCAAGCUCUUGACUAGCCAAAAUUUUUUUUUGAAUAUCAAAUUAACAAGACAUUUGAAAGUAAACAUGUAAACUCUGAGUUGUUGCCAAAUUAAGACACCUCAACAGCCCAUAACAGCGCAAUUAUACACAAAACUUCCUGAAUGCUUUGUUCCCAACAAUGUCCACUCGAGAGGACCUUCAUCUGGCUCCCAAGCAUUGAUCUCUAUUCACCCUCCAUUCAAUGCCCUUGGUCCAUCGAUAACCAUUAGUUGAUUACCACAGGCCCUGAAUGCCAACCCCCUGCCAUUCAUGGUGGUUGCCUGUUCAGGUAAUCUACCUAUGGUAAUCCACACAUUUCUCUGCUUGUCAUACUUCCAGACUACCUUUUCAUCGCAAUAAGCUGCAUAUAACUCAUUCUUCACCACUGCGAGCAGAGGAGGUGCUCUUGCUGUUGUAGGAGAAUCAUAAGUACCCUCUCUAGCACAUUGAGGGUACAUAUCAAGAAUUUCAAACCAGGUUCCUGUCCUUAAAUCAUAUACCUCUCCACAGGUAAGCACCUUUAAGCUAGCUCCAUAGCUCGCACUUGGGUUGCCUAUUCCGACACCACCGAUGACAUAAAACUUGCCAUCUAUGAAUACCCCUGAACAUAGUUUUCUGGGUUUAUGCAUUCUGGGGAGAGUGCACCAACUUUCUGUCAUCGAGUUAUAAAGUUCAGCAGAGCUCAGUAAAUUGCCUUUUGAGUCACAACCACCAGCCACAAUUGCAAUCUCUUCAAGACUAGCAGAGCCAAACAGCCAUCUUGGGAUGUUUGUCCUUACACCAGACGAUCAUGUAUUGGUUAAUAUGCUGUAUUUGUAGAUCACUUGAGACUCUAUUUCCUUUCCAAAGACAAGAAGUUCGGUGCCAACAGCCAGUGACUCCUUGUCAGAAAAAAGGAAACACUCGUUUGAAAUCAUUUUAGGCAAAGACAUCCAUCUACGGCGCAAAGGAUCAAAAGCUUCCCAUUCAAGAAGGCUGCAAGAAACAUAAACCCAAUGUUCUACAAUACUCAGCUGCCUCCUCAACUUAUAAAGAUCCCCUCUUCGGAUUAGUGACCUGAAACUCUAAUUGAGUGAAGCGAUAGUGCCAUAAUCUGCCCUCGAGCAGCGAAGUAAGCAAUUAAUUGAGAGAUCUUGGCCAAGUUGGAGGACGAGUGAACUUGUAUCAGUAUAAUACCCAUAGUGGCCUUGGUCAUCUUCUUGAUCCAUAGCUUGCCCUUGGAAUGCCAGUGGCUUGGAUGGUUUCAUCACUCCAGUCUCUUCCUCGAGGUGCUUUCACUUUGAGUUCCCUCCCUUGGGACACUUUUGCUUUGAGCCUUGCCCUCAGAAUGCUAGUCGCUUGGAUGAUUUCAUCACUCCAGUCUCUUCCUCGGGAUACUUUAGCUUUGAGUUCUCUCCCUCAGGCCCUUUCGCUUUGAGUUCUCGAUAGCAGAAUAAGUAUUAAAAACCCACUUGCUCUCUUCUUCACAGGUGCUUGGCAAGUCCCGACAGACAAGAAAUGAUAGCCCCUCCAAUAUGAUGGCAGAAAGACCGAGAAAUCUGAGAACUAAACUGGUCCAACAAAGUUAAGCCUGAAGACAUUAGUCCAAGCGAUAUUAGUUAAUGGUACAAUCUAUAAAAUAAAGAAGCAAAACAAUACCUAAAUAGCUCAACCAUAAAUAUAUGAUCUUUAUUGAAGAUUGGAAUAACUACAAUCUAUAUCUCUCUUUGCUAUGCUAAGAAGAGCAGAUUCCAUAACCAUAAGACAUAUAAAACAGGGAGUAACAAAGUGGAUGUAAUUGGUUAGGCAUUGCAUUUAAAAAGUGAACGAGACCCUCUGUGAGAAAACCAUGCAACGCAUCAUGAAAUACAUGAUUAGAGGAAAAAUUUUCACAAACAGUCAGUUAAAACCCAAAACUCAAUUUUGAAGACAUUGAUUGUUGGAGCAGUUCUACAUUUGCAAGGAAACAGAUGAGUGUAAACUCAACAACAAGGGCAUGAGCACACAUCUUGAUACAAGCACAAACAAGUGCUGACAAUAUUAGCAUGUCUAGCUCAAUGAUAACUAGCUCCAAGUGCCAAUCUAGAUCUCUUUGCCAUCAUCAAUAUCAUAUAUUUUUCCAAAUCAUCAAAACAGAAAAAAUUGGAAUUGAAUAGGUAGAAACAUGGUUAUUUAAAGUUGAGUAGAUAAAACAACAAACUCUAUAAUCAACUAUGGACGACAGUGAAUUCCAGCCGAAAAGUUCCAAAUAUGAAUAAGAAUAAAUUCCUUGAAUUGGAAAAUGUUUUUGUAUUUCCAAAAAAGAAAGGAAAGAAAGAUUUAAAUUCCAUGAAAUGAAUUCCAAAUGCUAAAAUCAACAGAAAGGAUCUUAUACAUUGAAAAGAGCCACUAAUGAAUAAGAAUAAAUUCCUGAAUUGGAAAAUAAUUUUGUACUUAUAGGGGAAAAAGAUUUUCAUUUAAAUUCCAGAACACUAAUCAAAAUUUGGAAAACAACAACAAGAAUCUUCUAUAUUACUAAUAUAGACCAAUCACCAUAAACUCACAAAAGUUAGAAAUCCAUCCCUUCAAACUCAAUCUAGAAAAGGAUUGAACUCCCAAUAUUUAAACAAAAUUUAAAUCAAAACAAGGACAAGGAUUCAAUAUUAAAUCCGAAACCAAAUUAAAACCUGCAUGCAUGUACAGUAAAAGCCAAUUCAAUUCAACUAGACCUUGCAAGAGAAAUUCACACUAAAAUCAUACCACCGAAUACCUAUCCUGGAAGCAAAUAUAACAACACCCAAUUAAGGGGAUAACAAGCAAAUACUCAUAAAUGAAAAAACAAUCACAAAUUUAAUAGUGAUAACUAGCAGUCAAGAGAACACCUUUGAAAAAACCUACCAAUCAAAAAAAUAAAAAAAUAGUGAUACAUGCAAUAGGAAAAUAAAAAAAAAUUAACAUUGACAUAAAUUUGAAAUAAAAGAUUGAUCAUUAUACAUGAAUUGUCCUCAAUGGUCAGAAUCUUUACAUGCAUUCCCUUCAAAAUAUAACCUAAAAUGAAAAAAGGAAAAGAACUCAUUAGGAAUUAUCUAAUAACAAGAAAAACCUAAAAACCCAAACCAGAAAACUUACAGAGUAAUCCGAGUAUAGUCUUUCAUUGUAACUACGAAAAAGAACAAAUUUCUGCUAAAAAACAGAGAAAGAAAAAUGAAUCAGUAGCUAAAUUAUUUCAUCAGGGCCACUUUGGAAACUUCUUUUAUUUGCAUUUGAGGCCCUCUCAAAUCUAAACUACAAAAAAAAAAAAAUAGUUCUCUCUUCGCUGUGAUGAGAACUGAGGAGUGAGAAGGAGGAAGAAGAGUUGGAUUUUUUAUUGGAUGAGUUGAAUAUUGGCUAGAAGUAGCAGUAUUUGUAGUAAUGAACUAACGGGAAGAGGGAGACGACAGUAACUUGGGAAAUGAGAUGGCGGUGAUAGCAAGGGGUUAAGAUUUAAUGGAAGAUAAUUUGAUGGCCAUCAUUUGCACGUGUAAGCAUUUUUUUUUUUUAAAAUGGUUGUCACCUUUUGGACCGUUCUUCCUUACCAAACUCCAAAAGAGUUCAAUUCUCCGUACGGCUCUUCAUUUCAUAGCAUUUCUUCUACACCCUAGCAACACACUAUAAUUUCCACUUUUCUCUUUAGUUUUUUCCUUUUGAGUGGAUUUGAUGUUCAUUAGAGUGAUCCUAAUAUGGUCUCUUUCCAAUCCGAUUACGUUGGUACCAAAAUAUACACGUUUCCUAAUUUAGGAAUCUAUUUUCCUAUAUGAGAAUAAUGAUUAAGGCUUUUGAAGAAUUAUAAUGUAUUUGGCAUGUAUGGUCUUAUGGUUUUAAUUAUUUACAAAAAUUUCCCUAUGUGCUAUAUUCGUUUAAAAUGGUUUAGGUUACACAAUAUGAACUCAAUUAUUUUAUAUAAUUAGGUUAUGGAAUACAAAGUGUUGAUUAGAUAUCUAUGCACGAGUUCUAUCAAAAAUAUAUGGCUAAAAUAGCUUAUAUAAUAUUUGUCAUUUGCAAAGAUUCUAAGUUAAGAAAUACGAAUUGAAUUACUUUACAAAUUAGGUCAUGGAAUACAAAGCAUCAAAAAAAAAUUCAUGCUCGAGCUCUAUUUGUAUAUAACUGUUAAAAAUGACAUGUAGAGCGAUUUGUCGUAUUUGUUUCUUGCACACAAAUAAUUGACCAAAAAUCAAUAAUUGAUGAUAGUUAUUCCAUCAUUAAAUAAAGUAAAACACCAAAAUCGAACUUUAUCUGACAAAUUACUUUUAUAAGAGAAUCUAAAAUUCUAUUGUAUAUUCUUCAUGUAAUAAUUAAUUGUUUCAUGAGCUAAUUGAAAAGAAAUAAUAAUAAUAAUAAUAAUAAUAAUCAUCAUCAUCAUCAUCAUGAAUAUCAAUUAUUAUGUGCUUAGAGCUCAUAAAACUAUUUGUGCAAAAAGAAUUUUACUAAUUUAUGUACCUCUAUGUUUGCAGCAUCUCUCUUGCAUGAUAAUAACAAACUAUUUUUCCAGAUUUCCAUUUAACUAAUCUAUUUAUUUAAAUUUCCUAAUUUAGUUUUCAAUUUCCUCUAGAUGAUAAUUACCUUUCAGGUUUGGUAGGGCAAUGAUGCAAUAACAAAGGCUCCCAUGGUUUUAAUUCUAUACAAUAGUUCUCAAUCUUGUAAUUCAUUUGCAAAAAUUAAAGUUGCAGAAUAUGAAUUGUAUUGCCUUUUAAAUUAGGGUUUUCUAGUACCUACUGCCAAAAACAAAACCAUGCCUGAAAUCUAUUUGAUUUAUAACAAUUACAAUAGCAUAUAUAAUAUUUGUCUUGGUUUAACUUUUAUUUGUUUGUGAGUGAAUGACUUGAAAAUAGUAAUUGACAAUCAAGAGUCCAACCAGAAAAUGUAAAACACCAAAAUCAAACAAAAUAUCUAAUGGUCUCUCUUUAUACGAGCAUCUAAUAAUUUUUUUUUCCAGAUCUCACAAUGAUUUUUUGGUUUAAUAGUUAAAGAAGAUAAUAACCGUAAUAUAUCUCAAAGAUCAUUUUCUUACAACUCGUAAAAACUACUUGUGUAAAGAGAAUCCUCUAACCUACAAGCCACUCCAUUUGGUUGAAUUUUACCAUGAUAUAUAGUUUUCAUCGUUUUUUUUUAUUCAAUCACCAAUUUGUAUUUCCUAAUUUAGUUUGCUAUUUUGCUUUUGAUGAUGAUUUUUAGAGAUUAGUAAAUUUGCAUGUAUGGCCAUAUUUCUUUUUUCUUGUUGUUUAAGUAUAUACAAAAGUUUCCCUAUUUCGGAAUUUACCUUCAGAGAUUCAAGUUAUACAUAAAAACAGAUUCAGCGUAAAGAUUAAGUAAUAGAAUUCAAAUUGUUAAAAAAAAAAAUCUUGCUUGACCUCAAUAGUGAUAAAUUUGUUGAAGAACAUUCUGUCAUGAAUUAUUUGUUUUUUAUUAAUUUUAUGCAUAUAUGGCAGAAAAUCAACAAUUCACUAUUAUGAUUAUAUCUUAAUAUAAUUUUUAAAGUAAAAAGCCAAAACUAUAUUGUAUCAAAUGGACCACUGUUAUAAGUGGAUAUAAUAUAUUUUUGUUGUAUUUUCAUAAUAAUUAUUUUCUUUACUAGUUAAUUAAAUUGAAAUAAUGUUCUUGAUAACACUGAUUACAAGCUUAGAACUCGUAAAAAUGGUUUGUGUAUAAAAAUUCGAGUAAUACUACUAUACGAACAUGGACAUCUAAAUAAUUUUGUUUAUUGAUAAAAUAUUUUUGGGGUGAAACAUCUAAUGAGGGAUUUCUAAGUAGAAUUGUUGAACUUUAAACAUACACAAAUAUCAUGUAAGGCAUAUUCUUCAUAGAUUCAAUUUUUCAUCUAUCUUUCUUUCUUUUCACUUGAAUAUUUAUGGAUAAAUUUUUCUUAAUGUUUGAAUUUCAUAGUAUUUACUUUCUAGUGGUUUUCAUUAGGUUAAAAAGUAACAUAACGUUUUUAAUUUUCCUUUAGAAAAACACACAAUUUCACGUGAGCAAAAAUCUCGUGCAGCUACUAUGAUACUACUACCAACAAAUCCACCACUGAAAUUCUCACAUACACAAAUCUGUGAUGAUCAUAGAUGCACAGAUGAACUUUCACAAAUUCAAUGAUAUUUAUCCAUGCUUAUCUAAGUAUUUGCUGUGAUAAAUGUUAUUUUAUUUUCUUUUGAGGUGGUUGGUGGGUGGAGAUUGCUUUUUUGUGGAAUUUUGGAUUAAUUAUUUCCUCUCACACACGCACUAUGACAUGUUCACAUGUAGAAUCAAAAUCGAUUUUAAAACACGUGUAGGACAUGCAUGAGAAAAAUGUGUUAUUUAAUUUAAAAAAUAAUAAGUAAAUCCAAGAAAAAAGUGAGAAUGCAAGGAUAGAUGUCAAGUAGGAAAGAAGAGCAAAUUUUGCUUUAAAUGAAAAUAGUGGCCAUGUGAGAAUAGACAUCGUGGCAAGAAGAACAAAAUUUGCUUCAAUUGCGUGAGGACAAAAGCAGUGGAGGAAAAGAUAGAUAACCGUUGAAGAUCAGUCAGAUGAGUUAGUCAUAAAUUAACUCUAUUGAAGCAGAUUCCAAGGAUAAUUUCUCACAUAAAUCCGAGUCUCUCAAUCUUUAGUAAGAUCUAGAUCAAAGUGUACCAUUCAUGUACAUUGACUGAUCUUACAAUUUUUUUUUUACAUGCAACUAUAUUACAUUUGCAAGGAAAUGUUCCCUAGGCGUAAUUUAGGCUAUGCAAAAUACUCUCAAGACUUUGAAAUCGAUCUACUCCAGCCGUUGCCAUCAUGCGCAUGGAUUGGCAAUGGGAAUAUGAUGGCUUCUGGCAGAACUGUGUUCUCGAAAAUUUCCCCAAGUACUGCUCGCACUGUUAUCGGCAGGGACAUGGGAAGGAUGAAUGUCAUGUUCUCCACCCUACGCUCCGCCCUCCUAAAAUUGAGAAUCAGCGUCACAACAAAGAACGAGCCACGGCAGCGGAGCCAGGUGAGAUACGGUGUGCGGAGGACGCUUUGGGCAGUGUGAGGCUGCCUGCCGCAUCCGUUGGGAGGGGUGACUUUGGAGGAAGCCCAUGGCCUGGGCGAGGCUGCUGCAGAUUUGGGUGUAGAGGAAGGGGUGGUGUUUGCGGGUGACCAGACUGGAGAUGCUCAGCAGCCUGCUGUGCUUGGUGCAGUGGACUACUUUCUGGUGGCACAACCAGACCAGCGGUGUGACGGAGGGCACGACCAGCAGGUGCCUCCUCCUCAGGUUGACACGGUGGAGGUGAAGACUAGUGGGGAUGAAACUGAAAGGCCAGUGACGCUCCAUGCUGGUUCUGAGGUUGACCAGGGGUUCAUAGUGGAUCUUCGAGACUUCCAGGGGAGAUUUGGUAGUAGUUCUCCUCAGGGCACAGUAGGUUGUGGGUCUUAGCAAAGAAGUGAGUCAUUGCAUUUCCCUCGCCUAAGGGAGCUACCUCCCUCGCCUAAGGGAGUAGGCCCUCCGGGUGAAGCACAGAACACACAACGAGGGAUGCGGGCUCGCUUUCCACUUGAUCGCAUUUUAUGCUCAAGUAAGUCCAGCUCUUCUAACUCCUUCACCGUGUUGUCCGAUGAUUAAAAUGCUAUUUUAGAACAUAAGGGGUGUCACUCGCAUCCCCCAUCUUAGAAGGCUAAAAAAAUUAGUAAAACUUCACUCGUUAUAGUUGGUUGCAAUUUGUGAACCAAAAGUGGGUUUAGGCCAUAUGAGUCAUGUGCAGUUGACGUUAGGAAUGGACUUUUGUGUCUCAAACCAAUGGGGGACCAUUUGGGUCUUCUAUAAAUCCCCUCUAUCUUGUACUGUGAUUGGGGAGUCAUGUCAACAUGUCUCGCUUCAGGUUCAAUGUCCGAUGUUCCCAUCACCCGUUUAUUUUUCUUUUGUUCAUGCCAAGUGCACCGUUCAUGAGCGGCAGAUGCUGUGGGCGGACUUGACGAAGGGUAUUCUACCUGAUACUCCUUGGCUUUUAACUGGAGACUUUAAUAUCAUUAUUAAUGAGGGGGAGAAGCGUGGGGGACUGCUAUUCCGCUUGACCGAGGGGGAGGAUUUUUUGCAUUUCAUGAUGGAAGCGAGGGUCUCAGACAUGGGUUUCUCCGGGUCCAACUACACUUGGUUCAACAACAGGUAAGGGCGAGCCUGAGUCUGGAAGCGUCUAGAUCAUUUGCUUCUCAAUUUGAAGGCCCUCCGUAUGGAUUCGGAUAUUUGGGUAUAGCACUUGGCAAGAGACCCAUCGAACCAUGCCCCACUUCUACUGACGACCUCGACUCGGUUGGACAAUAAGCCAAAGCCUUUCCCCUUUUUAAAUUUUUGGACAACCAAAACAGGGUUGUUGGACGUGAUUAGGGAUGGGUGGCAGGAGGAGAUAGUGGGAUCUCCUCUGAGUGUGCUAGCUGCUAAACUACGUACAAUCAAGCAAAUGCUGAAGGGGUGGUCCAAGGAAGCCUUUGGUGACAUCUUUGAGGCUGUUAAAGAAGCGGAAAGUGCGAUGGCGGAGAUAGAGAGGGUUCAGGAGAAGGACUUGUCCGACCAGGCGACGAGAGGCUUGAAUGAAGCCCGUGAGCGGUUGAGGAAUACAUUGGCUAUUGAGGAAGCCUUUUGGAGACAGAAGGCAAGGGCCAAGUGGUUGAAGGAUGGGGACUACAACUCAAAAUAUUUUCAUACUGUGGUGGCCGAGAGGAGAAGUAGGGCGGUCAUUCAUAGGAUCCGUGACUCGAAUGGUGCCUGGGUGGAAUCGAAGGACCUCAUUAGUAGGGAGGAAAUUUCCUUCUUCCAGAGGCUCUUUACGGUGGAGUCGCCCUCCUAUGCUUACGGGCUCCUGAACACUAUUCCAAAACUUGUGACGGAACAGGACAACUCCCGCCUAAUGGAACCCCCUUCUAUGGCAGAGGUGAAAGAGAUGGUCUUCUCAAUGGAUGGGAAAAGUGCAGCGGGCCCAGAUAGGUAUACAGGAAAGUUCUUCACCUUCGCUUGGGAGGUGAUUGCAGAGGAUGUCUACAGGGCUGUCUUGAGUUUCUUCUGUGGUACAGAGUUGCCCCGAAGUAUUACUGCCACAUCCAUUGUCUUGAUUCCUAAAGUUCCUUGUCCGCAGGACUUCACACAAUAUCGCCCGAUCAGCCUAUGCAAUUUCAUCAACAAGGUGAUUUCCCGCAUCCUAACGGAUCGUCUAGCUCCGCUACUACCUCGAGUCAUUUCUCCUAAGCAAAGCGAUUUUGUUAAAGGGCGUCAGAUCUCUGAUAACUUCCUCCUAGUACAAGAGAUUGUGACGGGCAUUAGGAAGUCUGCCUACGGCGGUAACGUGGUACUCAAACUAGACAUGAUGAAAGCCUACGAUAGGGUGUUUUGAUGUUUUCUGUUGCAGGUUUUGAGGCGAUUCGGUUUCUUGGAGGCCUGGAUUGAUUCAAUCUGGAAACUGAUCUCGAAUGUUUGGUUCUCUGUCUUGGUCAAUGGCACUCCGCAGGGUUUUUAUCGGUCGUCACGUGGUUUGCGGCAAGGGGAUCCAAUCUCUCCGGCCUUAUUUGUGAUUGGGACCGAAGCUCUGUCGAGGGCUCUGAAUGCCUUAGUUAGGCAACGCCAGUUUCAUCCGUUCAAGGUUUCGCCCGGAUGCCCGAUUGUCACCCAUUUAUCUUUUGCGGACGAUGUGGUCAUUUUCUCGAGUGGCUUGAAGCCCACUUUGCAACUGUUAAUACGGGUCCUGGAGGAGUAUUUUGCAGUCUCGGGACAGAAGAUCAAUGAGCAGAAGAGCUACUUUUUAGUGCACCCUCGACUCGGCCCCCGACGCAGCAAGAUUAUCAGGUAGAUUACAGGCUUUUAGAAGAGGGAGUUCCCGAUCAGGUACCUAGGUUGUCCCCUGUUCAUUGGCAGACAGAAGAAGGAGCACUUCGUGGAGAUGUGUAAGGGUGUUGUCAAUAGGAUUUUAUCUUGGAAGCAUCGUAUUUUAUCGCCUGGGGGACGGAUUGUGCUGCUAAAGCACGUUUUGUCCUCGAUGCCCAUUCACUUACUGGCGGUAACAGCGCCUCCCAAAGGGAUGUUGCGGGAGCUAGAACGGGUCCUGGCUAUCUUCCUGUAGAGCUCAACAGAGGUUGGCCCACACUUCCAUUGGAUGAAAUGGGCGACCCUAUGUCGACCCCACAGCGAAGGGGAUCUAGGUCUCCGGCGAGUGACGGAGGUUUUUCAGGCCUUUUCCAUGAAGCUGUGGUGAAAGUUAAGACAAGGUCGCUCGCUUUGGGCUUCUUUUAUGUAGGGGUGGCAAUUCCUAACACGACACAAAUCUAACACGAAAUUAAUGGAUUUAGGUUGAGGUUUCGAGAGUUCGGGUCAGAAUCGGGUCAAACCCGAUGAACCCGAAAAGAAAACAAGUCAAUUUCGGGUCAAUCCGUAAUGACCUGAUAUGACCCGAUAUGACCCGUUUAUAAAUUAAAACUAAUUUAAUAAACAUGAAAAUUAUUUUAUCUAACUAAACUAAAUCAUUCUUUUUUUCCAAAGGCAUUAAUUACUUAAUCCUAAAUGAAUUUAUUAAACUUGUGUGAAGUUAAAAUUAUUAUAUUUGGACAAAUAAUAUAUUAUGUUAUUUAUUACUUUUAUGCUGUUUUAAUUUAUUUUAUAUUUGGUUUGGGAUAAAACACUUUUAUGGUGUUUAAUUUAUUUUGGAUUUGGUUUGAAAUUAUUUAUUUAAAUUUUUAUUACUUGAUGAUGUAAUUAAUUUUGUGAAAAUUUGAUUUUAUUAGAAAUUACAGUGAUAAAUUAAUAAAUUAAAAUUAAAUUUCGGGUCGACCCGCCAACCCGAAAUUUUCGGGUUCAUGUCAGGUACCCUGACCCAUUUCGGAUUGGCGGGUUGGGUUCAGGUCAGCAGAUUCUUUGUUAUACUUAGGUCUCAACUCGACCCGCCAACCCGAACCCUUUCCGAUUGCCACCUCUACUUUUAUGGCAUCCAAGUAUUAUAAGGGCCAGCACCCUUGCCUUGUGGAGGAGAGACUUGGCAGUUCCUAUACAUGGAGACGAUUGUUGAGGUCCAAGGGGUCAUGAAGGAAAACACAGGCUGGAUUGUGCAGGAGGGGUUGAUGGAUUUCUGGCACGAUAACUGGGCAGGGUCUGGUCUGCUAUGCCACCAGGUGGAGAUUUUUCAGGAUCAGCAGGUGGUGGAUUUUGCUUCUGGAGGGGAAUGGGACAUCCGAGCUCUUUCGCAGGUACUGUCACCGGAAUUGGUGCAACUUGUGUUGGCUUGCAAGCCUCCGUCAAGCCAGGAGGAGGACAGGAUGGUAUGGAUGUAGACGUCCAAUGGGGAGUUCUCGGUGGCCUUGGCUUUGGCGCUUAUCCGAACCCGCUCUUAAGGAUCUCUUGGCUUUGCUAGUAUCUGGCACAGAUCACUGCCAGUCACAAUUUCAUUUUUCAUGCUCCGCUUGCUAUGGAGUAGACUGCCUCUCCUGGAGUAGCUGCGUCACUUCGGUGUCCAUGGUUCUUCUCGGUGUUGUUGUUGCUCUGAUCCCGAGGAGGAGAGUUUGGACCACCUCUUUUGCACUGGUGAAACUGUCUGACAGGUGUGGGGGGCAUUUGCGGUUCAGGAGGGGAUGACGUCGCAUUGCUACACGGCCUGGCAUAUGGCAAUCUCGUGGUGGUUACGCCCAAUGCCGCAGAGGUACUUGGCUUUUGUGUAUCAGAUCAUUCCUUCUAUCAUCUAUUGCGAACUUUGGCGGGCGAGAACUAGGGCGGUGGUGCACGGGGGGAGGAUAGUAAGGGGUGGUGGUGGCCUAAACCUUAUAUCGUCUUAGGGAAUUAUUGCAGAUCCAAUUCCCAUCGCAAGCAUGGCCACACGGAUCUUGGGAGAGCUUGUAUUCGACCUUGCAAGCUCGGCAGAGGAUGUUGACUGUUCGGCCUGUCAGAUGGGCGUCCCCGGGAGCGGGCUAUAAGUUGAAUACUGACGGCUAUUCGCUUGGGAAUCCAGGGCGGAGUGGAGGAAGAGGCGUGGUGCCGGAUUCUCAAGGGGGUUUUCUGCUUGGAUUCUCAUGUUUCUUUGGCGCCACUAAGAGCCUCCAUGCCGAAUUGAAGGCUUUGGUUUAUGGGGUUAAUCAAUGCAUUGCUCGGGGAUAUUUGGAGUUGCAUCUAGAGGUGGACUCACUAUCCCUGGUUCGCAUUAUAUUUGGGGACCAUGGGUGCCCCUGGCAUUUGCAGGUGGAAUUGGACGAUCUCAUGCAACAUCGGGGUCUGUUUCGCUCCGUUAAACAUUGUUAUAAAGAGGCGAACAAACCGUCGGACAGGCUGACUAAGAUGGGUGCAGCGCUAGGCACCGCCUCUGCAUUUGAUUCCUUUGCAGCGCUUCCCCUGCUGGUCCGCGGGGAUAUCUGACUGGAUAGAUUAGGGUUCCCUAACUUCCGUAAGAGGGCUCAAUAGCCGUGCCUCUAUGUUGCUUCUUACUAUGUGUGACUUUCUUAUGAUUCAAUAAAGAUAAGUUUUUCAAAAAAAAAAAAUUUUUGGGAUAGCGCCGUUGACACCAUAAUUUUAGUAGUUAUCGACACAUACUAAUGUUUAAAUUGUUAUUUGCAUCGUCUAAUAUCUAUAUCUAUAUUAUAUAUAAAAGGAAAGGAAAGGGUUCGUGUUAACAUUUUGUGUUACUUUAUGUUAUACCAAAAGCACCCUUUAAAGUUAGUUUUCAAACUAUUCACAUUUCCUCUUUUUUUCCACCAUACUUUCAAUACAAUAACUUCUUCCAAUGUUAAACUAUUCAAAUUCUCUCUUUUUCUCCACCAUAAUCUCAAAUACAAUAAAUUGCUCUAAAAAAUUGUAAUUACAGAUUUUACAAAUAAACAAAUACACCUGUACCAUGAAAUGUAAUAACUUAAUAUGAAGGAAAGAAUAAUCAUAUAUUUUUAAAAAAUAAACACAUACUUAAGGUGUGCCAAAAGCACUAGUUUUUAAAAAGUAUGUGAUUGCUGACAAAAUAAGAAGUGAAUAAUUUAAAUAUUCAAGCAUACAAGAAAUACACGGUUAGGAGAAUUGAUAUUUGAGAAUCAUCUAUAACAAUAAAAGAUUUUUUAUUUUCCUACACAAAUUAAAAGAAAACGUUUACACGCACACAAUAAUUUGUGUAUAGUAACCUAAAUAUCAUGAUUAACUAAAGUGGACUUUGUAAUUUUUAUCACAAUAAGCAAUUAGAAAUUAUAACAUCUUACAAUAAUAUAUAUAAACUCAAUAGAACAGUUUAUAUAUAUAUAUAUAUAUAUAUAUAUAUAUAAUUAACACAUGGUAUUAGCCCCAAUCAUUGAGAUGUUCAUCUGGCCUCUGAUUGCACAUAUAUACCAGCUGAUUAAACCACAAAAUGUGAACUUGGCAAUUGCCAAUCAGUGGAACUGUGAAACUUGUUGGUCCUUUAAUCAGAAAGAGAAAGCAUAUGUUUAUCACCAGUUUUACCAUAUUUGAAGGAUGACAAUGUACAAGCAAGAAAAUACAUCGAACAAAAGUAACCAGGCAAUUACAACUUUUCUACAUCAAAUUAAGAUAUUAAAGGAAAUCAGAAUUGUCUGUUUACAUAGCAUAUUCCAUUCUAUUUAUUGAAGUUUUACAAUAUUUCACGGCUAAAAGAUGCACCUGGUGCUCUACAUUAUUUGUCUAUGCCGCUUGAAUUUCUUUCAAGCUCUUGACUAGCCAAAAAUUUUUUCUGAAUAUCAAAUUAACAAAAUAGAUGAAAGUAAACAUGUAAACUAUGAGUUGUUGCCAAAUCAGGACACCUCAGCAACCCAUCACAGCGCAAUUAUAAACAAAACUACCUGAAUGCUUUGUUCCCAGCAAUGUCCACUCUAGGGGACCUUCAUCUGGCUCCCAAGCAUUGAUCUCUAUGUACCCUCCAUUCAAUGCCCUUGGUCCACCGAUAACCAUCAAUUGAUUACCACAGGCCCUGAAUGCCAACCCCCCAGCCAUUCAUGGAGGUUGCUUGUUCAGGCAAUCUACCUAUGGUAAUCCACACAUUUCUCUGCUUGUCAUACUUCCAGACUUCCUUUUCAUCGCAAUAAGCUGCAUAUAACUCAUUCUUCACCACUGCGAGUAGAGGAGGUGCUCUUGCUGUUGCAGGAGAAUCAUUAGUACCCACUCUAGCACAUUGAGGGUACAUAUCAGGAAUUUCAAACCAGGUUCCUGUCCUCAAAUCAUAUACCUCUCCACAGGUAAGCACCUUUAAGCUGGCUCCAACGCUUGCACUUGGGUUGCCUAUUCCGACACCACCGAUGACAUAAAACUUGCCAUCUAUGAAUACCCCAGAACAUAGUUUUCUAGGUUUAUGCAUUCUGGGAAGAGUCAACCAACUUUCUGUCAUUGAGUUAUAAAGUUCAGCAGAGCUUAGUAAAUUGCCUUUUGAGUCGCAACCACCAGCCACGAUCGCAAUCUCUCCAAGACUAGCAGAGCCAAAUAACCAUCUUGGGAUGUUUGUCCUUACGCCAGACGACCAUGUAUUGGUUAAUAUGGUAUAUUUGUAGAUCACUUGAGACUCUAUUUCCUUUCCAAAGACAAGAAGUUCAGUGCCAACAGCCAGUGACUCCUUGUCAGAAAAAAGGAAACACUCGUUUGAAAUCAUUUUAGGCAAAGACAUCCAUCUAUGGCGCAAAGGAUCAAAAGCUUCCCAUUCAAGAAGGCUAUAAGAAACAUAGACCCAAUGUUCUACAAUACCCAGCUGCCUCCUCAACUUAUAAAGAUCCCCACUUUGGAUUAGAGACCUGAAACUCUGAUUGAGUGAAGCGAUAGUGCCAUAAUCUGCCCUCGAGCAGCGAAGUAAGCAAUUAAUUGAGAGAUCUUGGCCAAGUUUGAGGAUGAGUGAACUUGUAUCAGUAUAAUACCCAUAGUGGCCUUGGUCAUCUUCUUGAUCCAUAGCUUGCCCUUGGAAUGCCAGUGGCUUGGAUGGUUUCAUCACUCCAGUCUCUUCCUCGAGGUGCUUUCGCUUUGAGUUCCCUCCCUUGGGGCACUUUUGCUUUGAGCCUUGCCCUUGGAAUGCCAGUCGCUUGGAUGAUUUCAUCACUUAAGUCUCUUCCUCAGGAUGCUUUAGCUUUGAG